This 465-nucleotide ribosomal RNA is filed under the name uncultured bacterium. RNAcentral describes it as "partial 16S ribosomal RNA". It matches the Rfam family "Bacterial small subunit ribosomal RNA", at positions 338 to 795 of the family's 1533-position model. The record is from RNAcentral.
CCUACGGGGGGCAGCAGUGGGGAAUAUUGCGCAAUGGGCGAAAGCCUGACGCAGCGACGCCGCGUGAGGGAUGAAGGUAUUCGGAUCGUAAACCUCUGUCAGCAGGGAAGAACGGUCACUGUGCUAAUCAGCAGUGAAUUGACGGUACCUGCAAAGGAAGCACCGGCUAACUCCGUGCCAGCAGCUGCGGUAAUACGGAGGGUGCGAGCGUUAAUCGGAAUUACUGGGCGUAAAGCGCUCGUAGGCGGUAUGUCAAGUCAAGGGGGAAAUCCCCGCGCUCAACGUGGGAACUGCCUUUGAAACUGGCAAACUGGAGUGUGUGAGAGGAUAGUGGAAUUCCAGGUGUAGGAGUGAAAUCCGUAGAUAUCUGGAGGAACAUCAGUGGCGAAGGCGACUAUCUGGCACAUAACUGACGCUGAGGAGCGAAAGCGUGGGUAGCAAACAGGAUUAGAUACCCGAGUAGUC